Molecule: ribosomal RNA, 331 nt
Filed under: uncultured eukaryote
Lineage: Eukaryota
Description: partial 18S ribosomal RNA
Rfam family: Eukaryotic small subunit ribosomal RNA
Source: RNAcentral
CCCUUAGAUGUUCUGGGCCGCACACGCGCUACACUGGCAGGUUCAUCGAGCUUCAUGCCCUGAUCUGAGAAGAACGGGAAAUCUUUGAACACCUGCCGUGCUUGGGAUAGAUGUUUGCAAUUAUUCAUCUUCAACGAGGAUUGCCUUGUAAGCGCACGUCAUCAGCGUGCAUUGAAUACGACCCUGUAUUCUGUACACACCGCCCGUCGCUCCUACCGAUUGAAGUUUUCGGUGAAUUUACUGGAGAUCCCUUUUGAAGGUGGUUCGCCACUGGAAGAAGUAUUCAAAAGUAAAUGAAUCGAAUGAUUUAGAGGAAGGAGAAGUCGUAACA